AUGGCCGCGGUAUUUUGACCGUGCAAAGGUAGCAUAAUCAUUAGUUUUUUAAUUGAAAGCUGGAAUGAAUGGUUGGACAAGAAAAUUUCUGUCUCUAUCUAAUUUUUAGAAUUUUAUUUUUUAGUCAAAAAGCUUAAAUUUUUUUAAGGGACGAGAAGACCCUAUAGAAUUUUACAAAUUUGUUUGUUUUUGAUUUUUAGUUUAAUUAUAAGAGAAUAAGUUAGGUUUGUUUAAUUGGGGUGAUUGAAAAAUUUAAGAAACUUUUUUUAAUUUAAAUCAUUGAUUUAUGAAUAGUUGAUCCAUUAAUUGUGAUUAUAAGAUUAAAUUACCUUAGGGAUAACAGC
RNAcentral lists this ribosomal RNA (344 nucleotides) under Colophon sp. C141. RNAcentral's name for it is "partial 16S ribosomal RNA". RNAcentral also lists the same sequence under 1 other name. The record is from RNAcentral. Lineage: Eukaryota; Metazoa; Arthropoda; Insecta; Coleoptera; Lucanidae.